Pseudoliparis swirei is the source of this 2109-nucleotide long non-coding RNA. RefSeq lists it as uncharacterized. The record is from RefSeq and is a predicted model, not a curated record. NCBI's taxonomy places the organism in Eukaryota, Metazoa, Chordata, Actinopteri, Perciformes, Liparidae. The transcript is spliced from 2 exons.
GGGUUUUAUGUGGGCCUCAAACAGCAGAACCCUGUCUUCUGCAUCACAUCCACAGCAUCACUGCUGCCAUGACGACCCACAUGUGAUCCCUCAGGUGAGCUACGCCUCCACAGCUCCGGAACUGAGCGAUAACACCCGCGACGACUUCUUCUCCCGGGUGGUGUCCCCGGCCCAGGCCACGGUGGAGAUGGUCAAAGCCAUGCGCUGGAACUACGUCUCCACGGUAACUACGGAGAGACUGGCAUUGAUGCCUUUAUUCCGAAGUCCAGAGAGGACAGUGAGUGUUUCCUCAAACAUUCCUUCAAGCCUCCUGGGUGUAGAUUACGUAACAAUGUAGUAAAAUAUUCAUGACACACCAUGGGGACGGAAUCCUGCCUGCUCUGAAGUGCUGAGCAAACACUUCGCCCUCAGGCACUCAAAGACUGAGGAGGAUGAGGAAAAGCCCAAAAGUAAGGAGCUAAAAAAACAACUGCAAGCAUGAACCCAGUGACAGUCAGGAAACCAAUGAUUUCCUUCAUGAGGACGGCCAGCAGCGUGAGCAGCAGUCCUUCUAUAAUUAUAUCGCUGGUAUAUUACGUGUAUUGUAUGUUUACGUGCUCUUCUGUUCCAAUAAAAUCAUGAGAAUUUAAUGAAGCAACUAACAAAUACAGACGGCAAAAUAAGAAACAAAGGACUGUGACACCUCGUUACAAUUUAUUAGGGUGUUCAUCAUCAUCGUGGAUUUUGUAGAUAACAAUCCAGUGGUUGUGGUAAAUGCAUUAUGCAUCAUCAUCAUCAUCAUCAUCUUGGGUUUAGUUUCAACCCAGCGAAAACGUUGUCAGGAGAAGAACCCGACUUUUGAAGUGGUGAGCAGUGAGACUCUCUCGGCCCCUCAGGGGAGUCCUACUUAUGGUUUUAUGUGAGUUUAAUGAUGGAGAAAAGAACCGGAACCGGCAGAGCCGUGCCGGAGUAUAACACUAGCUUCACUUUAAUACCAAUAUCCCGAGGGGUAACGGCAAGCACAGAGGAUUGAAUGAAUUGUAAUUGCGGCAGAGUAUUUUAAAAUUCCAAUCGUAUUUAUUAAAAUUGGCUAAGAUUAUGGAGAGAAAUACUUUGAAGAUGAAAAGCCACCCAUCGUUUUAUUUUGUACAUACCCCUUUCUCCCUCAAUUGAUCUUCCUCUGCACCCAUUUGUGAUUACCUGCCUUUCCCACAAUGCAUCUGGACAAUUGCCAGAGAAUCGGCAUUAGUUCCACCAGAGCCGAGAGAAAAUUAAAACUCGGCCAACUUAAUGGCCGACGCGCUCUAACGUCACUCUUGUUUCGUGGUAAAAGUAAUAUGUUGGGUUCAUGUGUUUGCAAGAGUGAUGUAUAGCCUUGAUACCAGCAACAACAAAAGGUUCAUUCUUCCCCAUCACCUGAACUAAAUACAAUUAUUAAAUGAAAUAUUGAAAUCAAGUAAAUUAUUAUUUUACAAUCAGCUACAUUGAGCACAGUGGGACCAUUUCAUCAACUUGUUUUAUUAAAUCCUGAUGAGAAAAUUACACAAACAAGGACAUAACCUAAAACAAGAGGUGAUGCAUCUGCUGCACUCCAAUAUAUUGAAAAACAAGUACCAGGUCGACUUCAUGCAUAUUCACUAUCAUCUUGUGACUCGUGCAGUAUUAACAUUAAUACAAACAUUAAACCCUGUAUUAUUCUUUUCAACUGGGUACACUUCCGGGCCCCAUACAAAUCACAUUUACACGGCUUCUUGUUUACAUAUAAGUGUGAUUAAUGCACAUUUUUUUGCCGACGAAAUGCAAGAUAAGUCGAUUAAAAGCUUUUAGAGCUUCCCAGUUCCCCACAAUGUUUAACUGUCAGGAUCUGGAGUUUUUGUGUCUUGUGUCCUGUUUUAUUUUGAAGUCCCUGUCUCUCGUGUCCUCUGUUUUCCUGCACUUCCUGUCCCUGUGAUUGUCUCCGCUGCCCCUGAUUGUUUCCACCUGUGUUCAAUCACCUGCACCUUCCCUGUGUAUUUAAACCCUGUUGUCUCAUCCCCAGUGUUGGUUUUAGAACCAUGUGGAUGGAGUGGUUUGACCUGUUAUUGUGUAUGAGUCUCUUCAUUUGGAAGAUUAAAGUUUCUGUGGAACGUC